AGAGUUUGAUCCUGGCUCAGAGUGAACGCUGGCGGCGUGGAUUAGGCAUGCAAGUCGAGCGAUCCUUGUUAUUGAUGGAGAUUGAAGCUUCGGCUGAUGUUUCCUGAUUUAACGCGGGAUAGCGGCAAACCGGUGAGUAACGCGUGGGUAACUUGCCUCGAGGAGGAAGAUAGCUUCGCGAAAGCGGAGGUAAUACUCCAUAGUCCCCUGAACCUUAUUGGUUCAGGGUAAAGAUGGCCUCUAUUUAUAAGCUGUCACCUUGAGAGAGGCCCGCGUCCUAUCAGGUUGUUGGUGGGGUAAUGGCCUACCAAGCCAAAGACGGGUAGCUGGCGUAAGAGCGUGACCAGCCACAUCGGAACUGAGACACUGUCCGGACUCCUACGGGAGGCAGC
RNAcentral lists this ribosomal RNA (392 nucleotides) under uncultured bacterium. Its description in RNAcentral is "bacterial SSU rRNA". It matches the Rfam family "Bacterial small subunit ribosomal RNA", at positions 8 to 352 of the family's 1533-position model. The record is from RNAcentral.